AAAAAUCCAAAACUGGUGUUAAAACCCUUUCUCGGCUAAUUUCAGAAUUCCGACACGGUGGCACUGCCGUGCUUCGGUGACAACACCGUGGUUUGCCUCGGGCUGGCUGUUUUCGGCCAGUUUCAACUGAUUUCGAGUUGUUUGUACUCAUCCAUGCGAGAAAACAUGUUAAGGGGUCUCGGUUAGCAAAAAAAAAAUCGAAAAAUAGAAGCUUACUGAUGGCAGGGUUUUCUGUUGCGGUGGCUCCGCCGGCUCACCUUCGCGAUUGAGUGCUUUUCUUCGGUCAACCUAUGAAAAAUAAAAUGGUGAAUACAAUGGUGAAAAAAUUGCAUGAAACGGGAAUCGGGAAUGGCUUCAUCGGAGGUAAUUUUUUAUUUUUCCCACGGCGGUGCCGCCGAACUUUACCCGCAAUUUUCAACUUAUCCGUCGGUUUUUUUGCUCCGAUUUAGCCAUGAGAGUGUUUAAAAUUGAAUUUCGAGAGAAUGAAAUUUUUUUUACCUCUUUUGGCAAUCAUAAGUGGCUCCGGCAUGGUGGCGAGUGGUGGUCGACUCUUUCUCC
This 558-nucleotide long non-coding RNA is filed under the name Carica papaya (papaya). Its description in RNAcentral is "long non-coding RNA (CPAP_LNC008763)". The record is from RNAcentral. Lineage: Eukaryota; Viridiplantae; Streptophyta; Magnoliopsida; Brassicales; Caricaceae.